UACAGGGGGGGCAAGCGUUGUUCGGAAUUACUGGGCGUAAAGGGCGCGUAGGCGGCCUUCUAAGUCAGACGUGAAAUCCCCCGGCUUAACCUGGGAACUGCGUCUGAUACUGGGAGGCUUGAGUAUGGGAGAGGGAUGUAGAAUUCCAGGUGUAGCGGUGAAAUGCGUAGAUAUCCGGAGGAAUACCGGUGGCGAAGGCGGCAUCCUGGACCAUUACUGACGCUGAGGCGCGAAAGCUAGGGGAGCAAACGGG
Molecule: ribosomal RNA, 253 nt
Filed under: uncultured bacterium
Lineage: Bacteria
Description: partial 16S ribosomal RNA
Rfam family: Bacterial small subunit ribosomal RNA
Source: RNAcentral